This 92-nucleotide non-coding RNA is filed under the name Pseudomonas chlororaphis. The record is from RNAcentral. Lineage: Bacteria; Pseudomonadati; Pseudomonadota; Gammaproteobacteria; Pseudomonadales; Pseudomonadaceae.
CUCAAUGGCGGCUGUGCGUGGGAGACCUCAGGGUCUGCCGGUUUUUCUUAGGCUUUUUCCGGUUCGCCAACCCGCGUACAGCUGCCACCCCA